UCUCAACCAGAAUGAACAAGUCUUAGAGAGAGAGAAGCUCUCACCCUUUUUCCACUGGGAAAUCUUUUAAAAGGCACUUUCAAACGAUAAACUUGAUGCAGUAUAAAAUCCCACUUUCAGACCUUCUCCAAACACACUAUAAUGGAGAGAGGGUAGCAAGUGAACGAAUUGAUCGUACCUGGGCUGGAGGGGCCGCUUCCUACCUAUUUGCAGACUGUAUAAUUUCCUGACUUUUCUCUAGUAGGGCAUGAGUUUGGGGAGUAAACGAAAUCGUGCUCCUGCCUAGAAAAUCGGGGAGGUAUUGUAUAGUUUCAGUGCGGUAUCAAGUUGCGCAAUGUUACAGAUACUCAGGUUGCAUAUUACCUGAUAGAGGAACAACGGGGAUGUACAAGAGCACCAGAUGGCUACGUUUCUUUUGUUGGCCUCCUUGCAGAUCCAUGGUAUUUUGCAUGUCCGCACAAGGGGAGGAGGAUGAAGAUUCGAACUAGUGACCUUUGCUUAAUGAGAUUAUCUCACUAUGGAGGAGAAUGCUCAUGAAGAAGAAGAUUUUAUCAGUGAAAAUGGAACGUGUUAUUGGUAGAGAAGGGGCAUGAGUAUCCAUCUUGUCAACUAAAAAACUCUUACAGGUCUCUCCCUCCAUCUACUGGGUUAUGACACAGCAUGCGCCAGGCAAGGUUUUCAUAAUUGGACCGGUUCUGCAGGUAAGAAGGGCUGAAGCCCCAUUAUAAGAAAAUGUGGAUGGGGCCUUUUGUGCAUGAUUUUGACAGAAUUAUGAACAUGGAAAAUCUUUUCUUGCUGUACAAAAACGAUGGUUCGCCAAUUCAUUUGACCCAUCAACUCGAAUCUAAUCCCAUUGCUAAACAAAUCAGGUUACAAGUCCGAACUCAAUGAAAAAUGCUACACUUUUCAAAACAAUAUUUCAAAAUUUGCACUCCAAAUGAUGUCUCACAGUUUUACGAGAUGGUGACACAUUUUUCAAAAUAAUAUAUUAUAUGGGAUAGGAUUGUAACACAUGAUUUAGAGAGCAAGUUUUUAGAAACUUUUUUUUUUUAAAAAAAAAGAAAUGUAACCUUCCUCGAACCCAGAAGGGAAUCGACAGUAUCCGAUGCUAGUUUUGUCUGCACUAUAACUCUAGUGAUGUGGUCACGUGGGUCUGCUGCCUGGUGCACGUGCGGGUC
This is a long non-coding RNA of Corylus avellana, 1178 nucleotides long. RefSeq lists it as uncharacterized. The record is from RefSeq and is a predicted model, not a curated record. NCBI's taxonomy places the organism in Eukaryota, Viridiplantae, Streptophyta, Magnoliopsida, Fagales, Betulaceae.